UACGAGGGGGGCAAAUGUUGUUCGGAAUCACUGGGCGUAAAGGGAGCGUAGGCGGGUUUUUAAGUCAGGUGUUUAAUCCCGGGGCCCAACCCCGGACAGGCACUUGAAACUGGGAAUCUUGAAUAGUGGAGAGGUCGGUGGAAUUGGGGGUGUAGCGGUGGAAUGCGUAGAGAUCGGCAGGAACACCCAGGGGGAAACCAGCCGGCUGGGGACGAGCUGACGCUCAGGGGCGAAAGCGUGGGGAGCGAACCGG
Molecule: ribosomal RNA, 253 nt
Filed under: uncultured bacterium
Lineage: Bacteria
Description: partial 16S ribosomal RNA
Rfam family: Bacterial small subunit ribosomal RNA
Source: RNAcentral